CAGUAGCCGCGGGAAUACGUAGGUGGCAAGCGUUGUCCGGAAUUAUUGGGCGUAAAGGGCUCGCAGGCGGUUUCUUAAGUCUGAUGCGAAAGCCCCCGGCUCAACCGGGGAGGGUCAUUGGAAACUGGGAAACUUGAGUGCAGAAGAGGAGAGUGGAAUUCCACGUGUAGCGGUGAAAUGCGUAGAGAUGUGGAGGAACACCAGUGGCGAAGGCGACUCUCUGGUCUGUAACUGACGCUGAGGAGCGAAAGCGUGGGGAGCGAACAGGAUUAGAUACCCCAGUAGUCCCUGUCUCUUAUAA
Molecule: ribosomal RNA, 301 nt
Filed under: uncultured bacterium
Lineage: Bacteria
Description: partial 16S ribosomal RNA
Rfam family: Bacterial small subunit ribosomal RNA
Source: RNAcentral